Small nucleolar RNA from Phragmites australis (common reed), 139 nucleotides. RefSeq annotates it as small nucleolar RNA Z247. The transcript has a single exon. The record is from RefSeq and is a predicted model, not a curated record. NCBI's taxonomy places the organism in Eukaryota, Viridiplantae, Streptophyta, Magnoliopsida, Poales, Poaceae.
CCUCUCGAAGACGAAGAAUUAAUCUCGUACAUGCUACGAGGUCUCGGCAACGAGUAUGAUCCUCUUGUGAUGAGCAUUACCACACGGGCUGAUUCAUACACCCUUAGCGACAUCUUCACGCACAUGAUGAAUUAUGAGA